UUAGCCUAGGUCAUAUUGUUGACCAAUUGGGCUUUACUUGAGGUUGCACCGUAGAGAAGCCAUUCUCUGGAGGGAAAUUUGCACCGUUUCUUUGAAUGACCUUUCUUGUAAAGAAGUUUGCAUGCUGGUGAAAAUGAUGAUUGAUUUGAUUUGAAUUUUUGAUGGUUGAGCUUUCUACCCUCUAAGUUUGUUUAUAUAUGUAUGUAUGUCUCUGAAAUGCUGGUGAAAAUGAUGAUUGAAGAGAUGAUGGGUAUUUGAAGUGACAACCCAAGUUCGAAGAAGAAGAGUAGUGAAUGAUAAGGUAAUAACUUUGAUAUCUUUUCCGAUUUGGUUCUAAUAACUUUAUAUGUAAUUAUCAAAGAAUGUCUCAACUCUGAAGGUUGCAGUCCCAGUUUAUUGGUUUUGGUUCCAGUCUUAUUGGAGUAGUAUUGUCUAAAAUCAUAGGGAAUAGUGCAGCUCAAUAAAGAGAUGAAUAACCAGACUGGUUGCUGGGUUCGUACAAUGCUUUGUUGUUGUGAUAAUGUAAUUAAAGUUGUAUAUUGACCAGUCACGUAGUGAUCUCUAAUUCCAACUGUAAACAGUUUGGUGUUUGUCAUGCCAGAUGAUGCCUAUCUAUGUCCGUGAAGCCGAAGCAAUUUUUCGAUGAUCCCAACACAGCAUAAAGGUAGCCUAAUGUACUGUACUGAUCCCCAGUUUUCAAUAGUAAUGCUCAAAUUGGGUUGCCUAGAAGAAGAAAACAUGGUUGAUACAGCAGAGCUGGUAAUAAAUGUAACUUUAACAACAAAUUUGUUACUAAUAUAUUUGCCAGAUAAGAUGUUGACGAAUUUGGUUAUAGGUACAAGGCAUAAAGCAAUUCAG
This 858-nucleotide long non-coding RNA is filed under the name Panax ginseng (ginseng). Its description in RNAcentral is "long non-coding RNA (PGIN_LNC018852)". Lineage: Eukaryota; Viridiplantae; Streptophyta; Magnoliopsida; Apiales; Araliaceae. The record is from RNAcentral.